RNAcentral lists this small nuclear RNA (90 nucleotides) under Poecilia reticulata (guppy). RNAcentral describes it as "U1 spliceosomal RNA (ENSPREG00000017110.1)". Lineage: Eukaryota; Metazoa; Chordata; Actinopteri; Cyprinodontiformes; Poeciliidae. The record is from RNAcentral.
AUACUUACCUGGCAGGGGAGAUAUCAUGAUCAUGAAGGUGGUUCACCUUACAAUUUUCAUGAAAAAAAUAUGACUUUGUCUCUGCCUGNN